Molecule: ribosomal RNA, 117 nt
Filed under: Clostridiales bacterium
Lineage: Bacteria; Bacillati; Bacillota; Clostridia; Eubacteriales
Source: RNAcentral
ACUGGUGAUUAUAUCGAAAGGGCCACACCUGUUCCCAUCUCGAACACAGAAGUUAAGCCUUUCAGAGCCGAUGAUACUCGGUGGGAGACUGCCCGGGAAAAUAGGUCGUCGCCGGUU